GACGAACGCUGGCGGCGUGCUUAACACAUGCAAGUCGAACGGUAAGGCCCCAGCUUGCUGGGGUACACGAGUGGCGAACGGGGGAGUAACACGUGGGGGACCUGCCCCGCACUUCGGGAUAAACCUGGGGAACUGGGGCUCAUACCGGGUAGGACAGCACCGAGCGGGUGGGGUGGAAGGGUUUGCGGGGUGGGCUGGGACCGCGGCCUAUCAGCUUGUUGGUGGGGUAAUGGGCUACCAAGGCGGCGACGGGUAGCCGGCCUGAGAGGGUGGACGGCCACAUUGGGACUGCGACACGGACCAGACUCCUACGGGAGGCAGCAGUGGGGAAUAUGGCACAAUGGGCGGAAGUCUGAUGCAGCGACGCCGCGUGGGGGAUGACGGCCUUCGGGUGGUAAACUCCUUUCUCCAUCGACGAAGGUGUUCUGACGGUAGAUGGAGAAGAAGCACCGGCUAACUACGUG
This 464-nucleotide ribosomal RNA is filed under the name uncultured bacterium. Its description in RNAcentral is "partial 16S ribosomal RNA". It matches the Rfam family "Bacterial small subunit ribosomal RNA", at positions 28 to 507 of the family's 1533-position model. The record is from RNAcentral.